Molecule: ribosomal RNA, 376 nt
Filed under: uncultured Thermovirga sp.
Lineage: Bacteria; Thermotogati; Synergistota; Synergistia; Synergistales; Thermovirgaceae
Description: bacterial SSU rRNA
Rfam family: Bacterial small subunit ribosomal RNA
Source: RNAcentral
GGACUUACUCUUCGGAGUGAGAGCGUACACAGGUGCUGCAUGGCUGUCGUCAGCUCGUGUCGUGAGAUGUUGGGUUAAGUCCCGCAACGAGCGCAACCCUGCAUUCAGUUGCCAUCGGUAAGGCCGGGCACUCUGGAUGGACUGCCGGCGACAAGCCGGAGGAAGUGGGGACGACAUCAAGUCAUCAUGGCCCUUAUGUCCAGGGCGACACACGUGCUACAAUGGCCGGCACAACGGGAAGCGAAGGGGCGACCCUGAGCGGAUCCCACAAAAGCCGGUCCCAGUUCGGAUUGCAGUCUGCAACUCGACUGCAUGAAGUUGGAAUCGCUAGUAAUCGUGGAUCAGCCAAGCCGCGGUGAAUACGUUCCCGGGCCUU